GGAAGGGGAGCAUCUAUGUGUGCCUGAACUUCUUAGGGCUAUGUUUGAAGCCAGCUCGUGACCCUCAGUUAUAGCUUUGAAGAGGUCAAGAGGAGUGGAAACACCUAUAUGUAGCAGAUAAGACGCUAAGGGACCAAAGAAAUGGCUGCAUCUCAUCCUAUCCUGGCUUCAAGGAAAUUUGAUAUGCAGAGCUGCAGCAGUGACUUUGUGACCAGGAGAUGUGAAGCACACUGGAAAAAAAAAUCACAAGAAAACUGUGUAGUUUUUUUGUUGUUGUUUUGUUUUACUCUUUGG
Peromyscus maniculatus bairdii (prairie deer mouse) is the source of this 294-nucleotide non-coding RNA. The record is from RefSeq and is a predicted model, not a curated record. Lineage: Eukaryota; Metazoa; Chordata; Mammalia; Rodentia; Cricetidae.